AUGGUUCAUACCAAGCUCAGUGGGGAGAGCUGGAUCAAGGCGGUGCCCAGACAACACUCGGUGGCCCAGCUAGGGGAAUUUGUUGGUCUCUCGGAAUGGAUCAGUCAAACCCAACUCUUGCCAAACCAGGAGGACUCCAUCUCCUGGAACUUGACGGCCAAUGGGGUCUACUCUUCCGCUUCGGCGUAUGCGGUUCAAUUUCUUGGAUCCCACCCUAGGUUUGACUCCAAGAUUUGGACCGCGCAUUCGGAGCUCAAAUGCAAAUUCUUCGCAUUGCUCAUUCUCCAUGGCAGAAUUCUUACGGCUGAUAGGCUGACAACUCGGGGAUGGCCCCAUGACCCCAUGUGUCAAGUGCCUCCAGGCUCUGGAGACAGCCACUCACCUGUGCAAAGGCUACCCUUUUUCCGUUGCUGUUUGGAGCCAUGUGAGCACCUGAGGUGA
This 441-nucleotide ribosomal RNA is filed under the name Triticum aestivum (bread wheat). RNAcentral describes it as "partial small subunit ribosomal RNA". The record is from RNAcentral. Lineage: Eukaryota; Viridiplantae; Streptophyta; Magnoliopsida; Poales; Poaceae.